RNAcentral lists this long non-coding RNA (10161 nucleotides) under Nicotiana tabacum (common tobacco). RNAcentral describes it as "long non-coding RNA (NTAB_LNC003139)". The record is from RNAcentral. Lineage: Eukaryota; Viridiplantae; Streptophyta; Magnoliopsida; Solanales; Solanaceae.
ACUAGGUAACUCUGCUGCGAUGUAUCUUUGUGCGACUUGUGAAUUCAUCGUUGGAGAAUAUAGGUGGAUGUGUAUCAAAUUUGACUGAAAGAUAAAAAUAAAGUCAACUCCUCGGUAAUGUGAGUUUCAACGACAGGUGACAUCUUUUGCUCUGUUAGACAAUGCGAGAAACUACUGAAGAGAUGUUCAUCGUCGUCACUAACCAUAUACUUUUCUAGGCAGACUUUUGUUAAUAUCGCGGCUCUAGAAUUUAUUUAUAAGAACAGAGAAACCCUUGAAAGCGAAUGUGAGAGCUCAAAUCUCCACCACUGGAUUGAUUUGGUAUUUGGUUGCAAGCAGCAGGGCUAACCAGCAGUUGAUGUAAGCUUUAACUUCAAAUAAUUGUUAAACCAGUUGCAGGUUUUGAAUUUCACUGAAUCUUUGGAGAUAUUGUCAGACAGGCAACAAACAUUUUUUAUUAUUUGACAUAUGAAAGGGUUGUGGAUACCAUGGAUGAUGAGUUGCAAAGGUUGGCAAUGUUAAUGUGCUGGACUUAAAAUAUUUUCCUUGUGAACCAGGGCCUCACCACGUCCGUUAAGAAAUGGGUGACCACCUAGUUGCAAUCCGGUGGGAACUUCACCUUCUCUGGCUCACAGGUAAGUUUUAUAGCAAUAACAAGGUAGAGCAUUAUGAUUAGUUAGUCAGCUUUGAAGUCGUUUUUAACCUUCUUGUAGGAUCCGUUUUUGGUUCUGAUGUCCGUCCUUCCUUGGAAAAUUGGGAGCCUUUUGGCUGAAAAUAUUGAGCUUGCAGCACAAUGCUUUGGAACAUUAUCAACAUUUGAAUGGUACCUGUGAAAACAACUUUCAAUUUAUAUGGCUACCUAAUGGCAGAAUGGAGCGUUAGACAACAUAAGAAUUGUCUAAUUGGGUGCUUAUAGUAUUUUUCUGUUGACAAAGCGAUUUGUUAAAAAAUGGUAAAACAUUCCAGUUGAUAUGUUAGAGUCAUAAUCGGAAGAAUAACAAUAUACCUCUUUGUUCACGUUGGGCCCGGGCGAAGCCCGAGCUACCCCUACUAGUAGAAAGAAAUAGACUAUCGUUGGUUGAAAUUCUGUUCAUAUAUUCUUUUUAUGUUAGGAGAAGGGUCCAACCUCGUUGUGAACUAAAGUAAAGGGAAGCAAAAAUAUGCGGAAAUCUGAACCGCGUAUGAAUAUGACAAUGUAGUAAUUGAUAUAUUAGAGACAUUUCUAUAGGUUGCAAAUCAAAACUUUACGUAGGAAAACAUGUUGUCUUUAUACAGACAAAUGAAGGUAGGUUAAAAUAAAAAUAGUAAAAUCAAAUACAUCUCAGAAAGAUCUGUGGAGACCUAAUGUGUUUUUCUUUGUUGUACUAUUUUUUCAGUCACGAAAUUAAUGGCAAACCCCACUUCUUAGGAGCUUGUACUCCGUAUUUUCUAUUCAACAAACUUAUAGGACGAGUACCACCCCAAAUUUAAGAUAGAAGAGACAUUAGUAUAUCGUCACAGGUUUAAAAUAUUUCACGAAACUAAUAAAAUUAUACCUAAUAUAUAUUAUUUAUGUAGUACCUAUUAAAACAAACAUCUAAAAGAGAAAAAAAAAUUAAAAUGGUCUAGUUAAUUUUCUUCACUUCAAAAAUUAUUUAAGCUGAUCGUGCAGAUAAAUGAUAUUAUUCUCUCUAUUUUAAUAUAUCUGGCAUUCGAAUUUCAAGGAUCAAACAAUUUAUUCUUUGAUCAUAAAUUUUUUGUAUGGCUUUUAAAUAUGUUAAAUAAUUAAUUAUUAUAUUUUAUAUUAUGUUUUAUAUACUUUUUAAAUAUAUAAAUUUUAUUAUUAAAUAAUUAUAUUUAAAUUCACAAUUAAAAUUUAGAAGUUUGAUACGAGAAAUUGUUGGGAUCGACUGGGUUUGUUGCCGAAAAAAAAAGGGUUUGUUGUUGUUGAUACUCGAAAUUGAAACAAUUGACGAAAUGAGUAAUAUUAGCUACCGGAACAUAUUAAUCCCAACGAGGAGCUGAUAUAUAGUACGUAUAUAUUAUUUUUCAACCGCUGAACAGUUGAUAUAAAUCCAUAAAAAACAUGCGUAUCUAGACAACUACUGCAAACGUGUUAAAACCUCAGCAAUCCUACAUCUCACGACUCUCCACGCGUACAGUUACAUUAUCUUCGUGGCAUCACUUGGUUCUCCAUCCAACUCCUAUAUAAACCCUUACAAAUUCGACUUCUUCUCUCAUCUUGUAACAACAGCAACAACGAAAGUACGCAACGAGGAACAAAGACAAUCUUAUCUUAUCAGAGAAAAGAAAGGAAGAAAAUGCAGUCAGCAAAGGACGCAGCAGCCUCAGCAAAGGCUGGCAUGGAGAAAACCAAAGCCACUGUUCAAGAAAAGGUUCCCUACACUUUUCUUUAUUUUGAUAUUGCCAUUAUUCAGGUGUAUUUAUUAGUUAUAGUGGACGGAGUAUUAAGUUUUAAACUUAUAAUUGCUAAAGUAUAAUGUAUUCAAUGAACGUUUUAAAAUCUGAAUUAUUGAACUUAAUUAUAUAUCUAAUAGUACAAAGUUUUGGUUUCUUAAAAAUGAGCAGGCGGAGAGGAUGACUACUAGGGAUCCACUGAAGAAAGAAAUGGCGACGGACAAGAAAGAGGACAAGAAAGCAGCAGCAGAGCUGGAAAAGAGAGAGGCCAAAGAACACAAUGUAGCUGCAGGACAUGGAGUUCAACAUCCCCAUGUUGGUGGAGGAACUGGCACUGGUUAUGGGACUGGCUCUACCUUUUAGAAAAAUGAAGCUCUGGGUAUUCCCCCAACUUUCAUUAAUGUAAUAUGGCUGUUUUUUUUUUUUUUUUUUGUAUGGUUAAGAGGGGUUACUAUCCCGCUUGUAUGUGGAUGUUGGUGUUGGCUUUUAUGAUCGACGACACCAAAUUAUAUAAAUAAAGUGACCUUCCUGUGUCUUCGUCUAUAUUUUGUCUAUUAAUUCCUUCCUUGUGACUUAUGACUUUUGCCCUAUCCUCCUAUAAAUCUACGAGAUGGGCUUAAGCGGAUAAGAGUAAGAAUCUAGGUGCAUCUGGUAUCACGCACAUAUCUUCCUCGUAUACUAUGGUCACUAGCUAGAGCGAUACAUACAUACGUAUAUACAUAUACAUACAUAUUGUUACGGAAGUCAAAUAUUGUUACGGAAAUCAAAUGUAUAUAGUGUGAAUGAGUCACAAUUGCUAUACAAAAAAUUAUGACAGCCACCAAAUAAUAAAUAAGACAAUAAAGCAGCAAUAAAAUGACAGCUACCAAAUAAUAAAUUAAUUUUUACAAGUGAAAUAAUACUAAAGAGAGGAGAUACAAAUGCUUAAGAAGAUAAAAAAGGUAAAUGAGAGGUGUGUUUAAAUCCUAAACAUUAGGCCUAAGAAGAUAAGAAAGGUAUAUGAGAGGUGUGUUUAAAUCCUAAACAUUAGGCCUUAGGGAAAAAUUUCCAACAACUUUCUUCCUUCGCCGAUGUGGGUCAUUUUGGCAUUCAACAAAUCUCCAUCUUGGCAAAAAUUUCACUAUCUUCAAUUUUCUCUUAAUAACAAAUUUUGGUUGUGUCUUCAUCUUCAAUCUUUAGUGUUCAACAAUGUUGAUCAAAUCCAAACAAUGUUAAAACUUGACCGCAGUCACCACCUUUGUCAGCAUAUCAGCAGGAUUCUCCGUAGUGUGAAUUUUCUUCACCGUACUCCACCUUCUUCUAUGAUUUCUCGUACGAAAUGAUACCGAACAUCAAUGUGUUUCGUCCUUGCAUGAUAAACUUGGUUCUUCGCUAACUGAAUAGCACUUUGACUAUCACAAAAAAUUGUGAUACUUUUUUGUUCAAUGUCAAGCUCUUUUAACAACCCCUGAAGUCAAAUUGCCUCCUUCACAGCCUCUGUAAUAGUCAUGUACUCUGCCUCUGUUGUAGACAAAGCAACUGUUGACUGCAAAGUUGACUUCCAACUAACUGGUGCUCUUGCAAAGUAAACACAUAACCAGUAGUUGAUCUUUGUUUGUCCAGAUCACCCGCAAAAUCUGAGUCACAAUAUCCAACUACAGAUUGAUUGCCUUCCUGCUCAAAAACUAACCCAACAUCUACAGUAUUAUGAAUAUACCAUAGAAUCUAUUUCACCCAAUGCUCCUUUCCUGGAUUAUGCAUAUAUCUGCUAAUAACUCCAACAGCUUGUGAAAUGUCAGGUCUCGUACAGACCAUUGCAUACACCAAGCUACCAACAACAUUUGCAUAUGGUACCCUUGACAUAUACUCUUGUUCAGCUUCAUCUUUUGGCGACAUAGUAGUACUUAACUUAAAAUGGGGAGCAAGUGAAGUACUAACCGGCUUAGUCAUCUCAUCUAUGCCAAAGCGUUGUAGUACUCUCUUAAAAUAUUCUUUUUGAGAUAAACAGAGUUUCUUUGAACGUCUAUCUCUUAUUAUCUCCGUGCCAAGAAUUUUCUUUGCCUCACCCAGAUCCUUCAUCUCGAACCCCUUCUUAUGUUGAAUCUUCAACUUAUCAAUUUCUUCCGAAUUCUCGGAAGCUAUCAACAUAUCAUCAACAUAUAGGAGAAGAUACACAAAGGAACCAUCUUUAAGCUUGAGCAAAUGCACACAAAGAUCGUAUUUGCUUCUCUUGUACCCUUGCCGCAACAUAAACUCGUCAAAUCGUUUGUACCAUUGUCUAGAAGAUUGUUUCAAUCCAUACAAUGAUUUUUCAAGUUUGCACACUAUAUUUUCCUUUCCAGCAACUUUGAAUCCUUCUGGCUGAGUCAUGUAGAUUUCCUCCUCCAAGUUUCCAUGUAAAAACGCAGUUUUUACUUCCAUCUGAACUAGUUCCAAAUCCAACUAUACUACCAAAGCCAACAUAAUUCUAAUGAAGGAAUGUUUUACAACUGAAGAAAACACUUCAUUGUAAUCAAUUCCCUCCUUUUGAGCAUAUCCUUUGGCCAUCAAUAUUGCUUUGUAGCGAACAUCUUCUUGGUUAGGAGAUCCUUCUUUCUUUGCAAAUACCCAUUUGCACCCAAUUGCUUUCUUUCCCUUCGGGAGAUUGGUCAAUCUCCAUGUAUGAUUCUGAUGAAGAGACUGUAUUUCAUCAUUCAUGGCAAUCCUCCACAUAUCUUCUUCUGAACUUUGGACUGCGUCUUUAUAAGUGGUAGGAACAUCAUCAGCUAUAAUUGAGGUGGAACAAGCAACUGUCUCUAUAAGACGAACAUGUUUUGUUAUUGUCCUUUUUGGCCUGCUGGUUGCUAUUGAUUCAAGUUGUUGAUGAGCUUCCUGAGUUGGAAUCUCCCUCUCUACUGGCUCUUCUUCCAGAGGAUAAUCUUCAUUUAUUUCUUACUCUGCUUCUUGUGUAGGAAAAACAAAUUUUCCCUCAAACUCUACCUGCUUAGAAGCACCCUCAUUUUGUUUGGUAUCUUCUGUUACCUUAUUUACCAUAGCAGAUUCAUCAAAGGUAACAUCCCCACUGAAUAUUACUUUCUUUGUCAUAGGACACCAUAAGAGAUAUCCUUUGACUCCAGAAGUAAUCCCCAUAAAAAUAGUCUUCUUUUCCCUUGGAUCCAAUUUUGACUGUGUCACAUGAUAAUAUGCAGUUGAGCCAAAUACGUGCAAACAGUCAUAAUCUACAGCAUGCGCCAUCAAUAGCAGCAGAUGGUAAGCGAUUAAUGAGGUGACAUGCAUAUGUAAUUUUCUCAGCCCAAAAUUCUUUGUCCAAGCCAGCAUUGGACAACAUACACCGUACCUUCUCCAGCAAGGUUCGGUUCAUACGUUCUACCACUCCAUUUUGUUGUGGUGUACGUCUGACAGUGAAGUGUCGGACGAUGCCAUCAAUUUCACAGACCUUAUUGAAAUGAUCAUUUUUGUAUUCACCUCCAUUGUCUGUGCGAAUACACUUGAUCCUCCUACCUGUUUGAUUCUCCACCAUCGUCUUCCAUUUGAGAAAAAUUCCGAACACUUCAUCUUUUCUCUUCAUUGUAUAUACCCACACUCUUCGGAAAAAUCAUCAACAAAGGCUACUAAAUAGUGCUUCCCACCCAAUGAAGGUGUUUUGUAAGGACCCCAAACAUCAGUGUACAUAAUCCAAAAUGCCUUUAGUAUUAUGGAUCGUUGUACCAAAUUUAACCCUUGUCUGUUUUCUUUUGACACAAUGCUCGCAAAACUCCAAAUUGCAAACCUUUACUCCUUUUAACAACCUUGAUCUAAUAGAGUUUUCAAGGAUUUUCCUCCAGCAUGUCCCAAGCACAUGUGCCAUAGCUUGGUUGCUUCUGCCUUUUUUUCGUCAUUGGAUGUUACUGUCGCUGUCCCAAUAACUGUACUAUUGCGAUAAUGGUACAUGUUAUUGUUCUUCCGAUUGGCCUUAAUUACCACUAGUGCACCGUAGCAUACUCUCAUCACUCCAUUUUCUGCUAUGAUUUUGAACCCUUUGAUUCUAGGGCUCCCACAUAGAUGAGAUUUUUCUUCCAACCCGGUACAUAUCGAACAUCUAUUAAUGUUCUGAUCAUUCCAUCAUGGUUCUUUAAUCGUAUUGAACCAAUGCCAUAUGAGGUAAGAGGGCUGUUAUCCGUUGUGUGGACGACUCCGUGUUCUCCUUCUUGAAAAUUCACGAACCAGUCCCUAUUAGGACACAUAUGAUAGCUACAAGUCGAGUCCAUCAACCAUAUGUCUGAUGAUGUUGAUGGCUCUGUUGUAACUAAUGAGAAGUCUGAAUCAUCACCAUCAGCUACAUUUGAAUCCAUAAUGGCCUUUCCAUUGUUAUGUUUGGUCUUAUUCUUCAACUUCGGACAGUCUUUCAUCCAGUGUCCCUUUUCUCGAAAAAAGGCACAUUCAUCUUUGCUGGGUCUAGAUCUUGACUUGGAUCUUCCCUUCUUUGUCCUGUUUGAUUUUGAGGACGACCCCUCACAACCAGUGCUUCUCCUUCUUCGCCCUUCUGUUUUUCUCCCUUUCUUUGUUCAUAGCUGUACAAAGCCGAACAAACUUCUUUGAGAGAAAUUUCGUCAUUUCCAUGGAGUAGAGUAGUUUCAAGGUGCUCGUACUCAUCAGGAAGUGACCCCAACAACAUCAAGGCCAAGUCAGCAUCAUCAAAAGUUGUAUCCAUAUUUUGCAAAUCUGUGACCAACUUAUUGAAACUGGUGAUAUGUUCAUUCAUCGUGGUACUAGGAACAUAGGUGAAGCGAAACAGUCUCUUCUACAUGUACAAUUUAUUUUGACUGUUUUUCUUCAAAAUUUAUCCUCCAGUGCUUUUCAUAAUUUACUUGCAAAAGUUUCCUUUGUGUAUGGAUAUUUCUGCUCUCUAGCAAGGUAGGAUCGAACGGUACCGCAAGCAACAUGGUUGAUAAUUCUCCAAUCUUCUUCUCUAAUAACAUCUGGUCUUUUUUCUUCAAUGGCAAGAUCUAGCCUUUGUUAAAAAAGAACAUCUAGAACCUCACAUUGCCACAUCCCAAAAUGUCCUGACCCGUCAAAAAGUUCUACCGUAAAUUUUCCAUUUGACACAAUUCUUGUCAUAAGCGAAGAUGUCAAUGAUGACGUAUUGUUGACACUUGAUGUAGAUUCUUCUUGUUUAUUGUCUCCCAUCUUUGACACAAAUAUUAUUUAAUAGCUGACGACACAAAUCAAGAUUAUUUCCUUUCUGGUGUGGAAAAUCAGACUAAGCUGCAACCACAGAGCAUACUCAGACAGAACCUUGACUCAGCUACCAAGAUAAAUCUUUUCUGAUGUGGAAGAUCAGACUAUGUUGUAACCACAGAGCAUACUUAGACAGUACAUUAGCUCUGAUACCAAUUGUUACGGAAUCCAAAUGUAUAUAGUGUGAAUGAGUCACAACUACUAUACCAAAAAUUAUGACAUCACCAAAUAAUAAAUAAGACAAUAAAGCAACAAUAAAAGGAACACCAGAAUUUACGAGGUUCGGCCAAUUUUGCCUACUUCCUUGGACACAACCAAUAUUUUAUUCCACUCCAAAAAUACAAGUGAAAUAAUACUAAAGAGAGAAGAUACAAAUGCCUUAAGAAGAUAAGAAGGCAAAUGAGAGGUGUGUUUAAAUCCUAAAUAUUAGGUCUCCUUUUAUAGAGAAAUAUUUCCAACAACUUUCUUCCUUCACCGAUGUGGGACAUUUUGGCAUUCAACACACACAUAUAUAUAUGCACUAUUUUUUUCCCUCAAAGAUAUAUAUUAUAUUAUUACAUAGAAUAAACAAGUUGAGCAAAGGUGCUCAUAGCAUCCUUUACGAUCCAAACUUGAGAAAAAGUAAAUACUUCCAAUAACAAAGUAAUAGAAAACUUAGCUAAAUUAUGUGUUAGUUUGUUUAUAUUCCUAAGAAUAUAAAAAAAGUCUACAUGAUCAAACAAAGUCGAGGGCUUCCAAAUGUCUUCACAAGUUUUUCCAAAUGUUUUUUGUGAAUCAAAUAACACUCUUUGCAAGUAAUUUUUUUCCAAUUUUUUCGAAUCAUGUCAUCACUCUUCACUCUUUGUAUCUGAUAGGUUCUUCACCUUCUUCGAACCAUUCAUAAGUGCCCGUUCAAGCCCUUCUUAUAGCAAGUGUUAUCAUGACUUUUUCUACAAACUGGAUUGGGGAUCCAUGGGCAUGAAGAAGUUUCCCAAGGCUAUCCAUAACUGUAACAUCAAUUCUUGCACGUCUAGUAUCCACCUGUAAACCUGCAUCAGUAAAUAAUAAUAUGUCAUCUUGGUGGUUUGUUAGUUGAGCCGCUAAGCAAAUCCCAUUUUGAGGAGAAAUAGAUGAGCAAGUAUCUAAAAUAUCCUUAUAGUCAUGAUAAUCAAAUAGUGGCUUAGAAAUAAUAUCAUUCAGUUCAAACCUCUCAUUAUUAAAGUAUCAUGCAUUCCUAGCUUUCCAUAUUUUCCACAUAAUAUUAACACUUAAAUUUAAUAACUCUACUGACUUAGGAUAUUAUCUAGUAUUAGAAAUCAAAGUAUACCACCAAACGAAAAAAUCAUUAAUUUUGUCCAAAUCAUGCCACUUUAUAGGAGAAGAUAUACUAAGGAACCAUCUUUAAGCUUGCGCAAAUACACACAAUGAUCGUAUUUGCUUCUCUUGAACCCUUGCCGCAACAUAAACUCGUCAAAUCGCUUGUACCAUUGUCUAGAAGAUUGUUUCAAUCCGUACAAUGAUUUUUCCAGUUUGCACAUCAUAUUUUCCUUUCCAGCAACUUUGAAUCCUUUUGGCUGAGUCAUGUAGAUUUCCUCCUCCAAGUUUCCAUGUAAAAACGCAGUUUUUACAUCCAUCUGAACUAGUUCCAAAUCCAACUAUUACUACCAAAGCCAAACAUAAUUCUAAUGGAGGAAUGCUUUACAACUAGAGAAAACACUUCAUUGUAAUCAAUUCCCUCCUUUUGAGCAUAUCCUUUGGCCACCAAUCUUGCUUUGUAGAGAACAUCUUCUUGGUUAGGAAAUCCUUCUUUCUUUGCAAAUACUCAUUUGCACCCAAUUGCUUUCUUUCCCUUCGGGAGAUUGGCCAAUCUCCAUGUAUAAUUCUGAUGAAGGGACUGUAUUUCAUCAUUCAUGGCAAUCCUCCUCGUAUCUUCUUCUAAACUUUGGACUGCGUCUUUAUAAGUGGUAGGAACAUCAUCAGCGACAAUUGAGGCGGCACAAGCAACCGUCUCUAUAAGACGAACAGGUUUUGUUGUUGUCCUUUUUGACCUGCUGGUUGCUAUAGAUUCAAGUUGUUGAUGAGGUUCUUGAGUUGGAAUCUCCCUCUCUACUGGCUCUUCUUCCAGAGGAUAAUCUUCAUUUAUUUCCUCCUCUGCUUCUUAUGUAGGAAAAAUAAAUUUUCCCUCAAACUCCACCUGCUUAGAAGCACCCUCAUUUUGUUUGGUAUCUUCUGUUACCUUAUUUACCAUAGCAGAUUCAUCAAAGAUAACAUCCCUGCUGAAUAUUACUUUCUUUGUCAUAGGACACCAUAAGCGAUAUCCGUUGACUCCAGAAGUAAUCCCCAUAAAAUAGUCUUCUUUGCCCUUGUAUCCAAUUUUGACUGUGUCACAUGAUAAUAUGCAGUUGAGCCAAAUACGUGCAAACAGUCAUAAUCUACAACAGGCUUUCCAUACCAUUUUUCAAAUGGUGUCUUGUCAUCAAUAGCAGCAGAUGAUAAGCGAUUAAUGAGGUGGCAUGCAUAUGUAAUUGCCUCAGCCCAAAAUUCUUUGUCCAAGCCAGCAUUGGACAACAUACACCUACCUUUUCCAGC